This is a long non-coding RNA of Gadus morhua (Atlantic cod), 395 nucleotides long. RefSeq lists it as uncharacterized. The transcript has 3 exons. Lineage: Eukaryota; Metazoa; Chordata; Actinopteri; Gadiformes; Gadidae. The record is from RefSeq and is a predicted model, not a curated record.
GAGUUAACAAGUCAGACCACCACUCCUCCGUCAACUUCGCCCACAUCUCUGCCAGUACCACCCCAGCAAGAUUUUUACAGACUUGUUCUGCAGCACCUCCGCACAAUUGAGGAGGAGCUGAAGGAGGUGAAGCAGCAGGUGGCGGUCAACACAGCCAUGAUACAGAGACUAGGUGGUGGUGGUGUGGCAGAUCUCGGCCUUGUGGAAGACACCAACAUGCCAUUGAGCAAUGCCGAGGACCUGGACGAGCUGGAGAGGCGGCUUAUAUCUGAUGUGGACCUAAAAAAUCAACUGGUGAACAUACUUGCUAUUUUGGGAGGGAAAACCACCAAAGACGCAGUGAAGAGGAUGCUGGGCCGGGCUUUCAGGAGGUCCCUGGCGCUCCAAAUUAAUUG